Molecule: long non-coding RNA, 1148 nt
Filed under: Gallus gallus (chicken)
Lineage: Eukaryota; Metazoa; Chordata; Aves; Galliformes; Phasianidae
Description: lncRNA (ENSGALG00010026605.1)
Source: RNAcentral
UUUCAGUUUAUUGGAGAGGAGAAGGCAAAACUCACAAGUAUGCAGUUUAAAGAUAGUGCUUCCCUUUGAUACUUUCAGUCUGUUUUAAACAGGUCAACUGAAAGACCAGGUUUUUCUCUGAGCUGAAAAGAUUGCUAUUUUUUGUAAUUUAUUUACUGACUGCCUAUUUCUUUGCACUAUAGUGGCCGAUGGUGUGAACAUUAUUGGGCUGAGUACCAUUUUGUUAGGAGGUGGAGAGUCUGUUGUGCAGAGCUGUUUCUACUGCUGCAAAGUUCAACUUUGAAAGCAGAAGUGUCACCAUGCGAGUUUUGGCAUGCAUGGUAAGAUUUAAACAGUCCUCCAUGGCACAUCACUUGCCAGCUUCUAUCAAAUAAAUCUGCCUUGUACCAUAAUGGCUGUUCUGCUUGUAGCUGAAGCAGUUUGGUACCUUUGUCACCAUUUGGUUUUGUUUUGUUUGGACAGUGCUUUUUGCUAUCAACUCAGAGGAUCUGUUCUUUAAAGGGUGCAGGUAGGGAAGAAGGAUCAUUUGUUUUCAGAGUUUGUGUGCACGUGGAUAAAAUCUGAUCAUUUUUUGUGGAAAUUUCAGAUUUUCGUAACUGGAAUUUAAUUCAACUUAAUUAACAGAAAGAGAAGGAAAUUUGAAGUAAGUUGGCACUAAUUAGUAUUGCCUUGCUGACUAAAGAAGGUAUAACUUAGUAAAUGUUUGGAUUUAAGCACAUCAGUUGUGCUGAAAACAAACACUGCUGUAUAUUGUAGGUGUACUGGAGGCACAGCAGAAAAAUUAAAACCCACUGCAAAGGAAAGAGACGUUCAAUGGGAAGGCAAGCACUUGCAUUUUGUGUAGAUACAAAGCCUCCCUUAGCAUUCACAUGAUGAUAAUAAAAGAUGGUUAUCCUAGCAGCAACAGGAGAAUGGUGCAGCUUUUAAGCUCCUAAUGUCAAUCUGAGUGUGAGAUGAGCGUUAGGUUAGUGAUGCCGUGAUUCUGAUUUCAUGUUCACUCAGCAGCUCUCCACGAUGACUUCAGCCUGAGCUGUUCCCAUUAAUUGUGCAGAAGUUCUCUGUGGAUCACAGAGGGCGCCCUCUGCUCUCAGAAAUUCGGACAGAGCUGUGCCUUUUUCAGAUGAGGAUAAAGAUUGGAAGGGUUUGAA